GGAGGAAAGCAGGGGAUCGCAAGACCUCGCGCUAUUGGAGCGGCCGAUGUCCGAUUAGCUAGUUGGUGAGGUAAAGGCUCACCAAGGCAACGAUCGGUAGCUGGUCUGAGAGGAUGAUCAGCCACACUGGGACUGAGACACGGCCCAGACUCCUACGGGAGGCAGCAGUGGGGAAUUUUGGACAAUGGGCGCAAGCCUGAUCCAGCCAUGCCGCGUGAGUGAAGAAGGCCUUCGGGUUGUAAAGCUCUUUCGGCCGGAACGAAAUCGACCGGGCUAAUACCCCGGUUGUAUGACGGUACCGGAAGAAGAAGCACCGGCUAACUACGUGCCAGCAGCCGCGGUAAUACGUAGGGUGCAGGCGUUAAUCGGAAUUACUGGGCGUAAAGCGUGCGCAGGCGGCUUCCUAAGUCAGAUGUGAAAUCCCCGGGCUUAACCUGGGAACUGCGUUUGAAACUACAAAGCUAG
RNAcentral lists this ribosomal RNA (465 nucleotides) under uncultured ammonia-oxidizing beta proteobacterium. Its description in RNAcentral is "bacterial SSU rRNA". It matches the Rfam family "Bacterial small subunit ribosomal RNA", at positions 198 to 644 of the family's 1533-position model. Lineage: Bacteria; Pseudomonadati; Pseudomonadota; Betaproteobacteria. The record is from RNAcentral.